UCCUCUUAUUAUAAUUUAAUUUCGACUUAAAUUUUUGAUUUAUUUUUAAUCUAAGAGAAU
RNAcentral lists this transfer RNA (60 nucleotides) under Ectomomyrmex javanus. RNAcentral describes it as "tRNA-Arg". Lineage: Eukaryota; Metazoa; Arthropoda; Insecta; Hymenoptera; Formicidae. The record is from RNAcentral.